CGUUAGCUUGGGUUAGCGCAGUUCUGUCGAACACAGGCGGCUCCAUCGAUAUUAGCCACCGUCCUCGCCGUAAUAAAAUACGACUACGGGCGGUACGAGGUCGCCGACUUAAAAGCUUAACAGUCAAGGUUCCCGACGGUUCGUACACUCCCCGAGUGAAACUUCCGAACAGUUUGAUGGGGCUAUUGAAUUCGCAAAUUGGGAGACUGAUCAAGUAUUUGUAAAGUUUCGGUUAUAGUAAGUAAUUGGAAAAAUAAAUACAAUAAAUUGUUAUACGGGCGUAGUAGUUAAGCAACCGGAAUUUAAAGCCAAAGCACGGCUAGACUUGGUCACAAACCUUCACGCCAAACUUACGCUACCUUCGAAUGUUGCAUAAGAGUUUGAAUAUUUUAGCAAUGUACGCAGGGGGUGCCUAAACCGUUACCGUAAACAUAACGUUGUUUGAUUAACCUCAAAAUAACGUUCGCGUUCAAACCGCCGUGGACUCUAAACUAAGCGCCCUUUAUCAAAGCACCCGAAAAAACCAGGUCGACUCACCACCAGAUCAGUCUUACAAGGUGAGGUGGGAGUUCAGGUCUUGCUGAUCCAAAUUGGGGCCAGUCUGGCUGGAGGACAGCUGGCGUCGUUUGAUCUGCUUCACCUUUCGCAUCUGGGGCCUGGAGAAUGGCAGCAGUUUCUCACAGCUGGGCGCGGUCCUGUUGCAGCAGCUUAAAACUGAACUCGCUGAGAAUCUCCAAGAAGGCC
Long non-coding RNA from Xiphias gladius (swordfish), 744 nucleotides. RefSeq lists it as uncharacterized. The transcript has 3 exons. Lineage: Eukaryota; Metazoa; Chordata; Actinopteri; Istiophoriformes; Xiphiidae. The record is from RefSeq and is a predicted model, not a curated record.